UAAGUUUGGCCUGGCAGCAGCGUGUGGGCUGCAAGGCCAUGAGGGAGUCUGGGAUGUAGACUCUAGAGCUUAGAUUACCAGGCUGGAUCCAUCCUGACACCUGACUGGGUGAACUGAACCGGACAGGGAGCCUGGAACUUAAAGCUGCCUUGCUGUCCCAGAAAUGAAUUCCCUGGGCACAGCCCCAGCCCACCCAGCUGUGAAAUUGAGCUUUAUUACCUAUUUCCUCCCACUUCCUCUCCUGCCUCACACUGCACCAUUCUUGAGGUCGGUGUGUGUGGUGCAGAGUAGGGUACAGCCUCACCCCUCCAUCCUGACCUGGGACACCAUCAUCAGCUCUCUACUGUAUCAUCUCUCUUUCUUAUAGGCAUCUUUCUUUCAACAAGUGCUUCCAUGUUCUCCUUAAGUCUUCUCUAGUGGGCCCUUCUCCUUGAGCUUACUUCUAGCUGUUUAUCCAUCUGUUGACUGUCAGCUAUUAAUUAAUCACAUGCCCAGUAUGGCACAGGCUUGGUGCUAGGUGUUAGGGAGCCACUAUUCAGCCAUUAUUCAGUGGUCUGGCAGUCGAGAAGGGACUCAAGAGUGUGCCUAAGGGUGAUGAGCUUCUGAGAUGGGGGUUUCUCCCCGCUGGAGAUAACAGUAGGUGGAAAAGGACAAAUGGACACUCUUUCCUUUUCUUUGGACCCCACCAUGGUGUGGGGCUGUAAGCAGCCCCUCCUGAUGCUCUAGCUCUGGGUACAUAGUGCCUUGGCAUGGAAGGCACUGGAAAGAGUUGCUGACCCACUGUGUGUGAUUCUGAGGCUCAUGACAGGCAGAAUGUGAAAGAACUGGACACAAUUCAGACUGAUGGGAACUUUACUGAGUGACCAGAGAAAAGAUUGCUACAGCAGAAUCAGGCUGAUAUCCUGAAGUUCUGGAACUCAAGCUCUGGGGCAUCUGUGCUAAUGGCCCUCCUUGUCAUGGGAAGCUGAGGAAGCCUGUAAAUAUAGGUUGUCCCAGUAGAGAGCCACAUUAGGUUCAUGUAACACUGCACCACACUCAGAGCAGAGAUCUACUCUGUUUCCAUUUCCCCUCUUCCUCUACUCCAGAAUACUCAAAACUGCUAGCAAUAGAGCUGGGUGCCACCCACCUUCUAGAAAUAUCCAGCAACAGCAAAACCCUACAAGUUAUAGUCUGCAGGGGACCAAACCCCCUCUUUCUCUGGAGCAGGUACCAGCAAACUUUACACACCCAAAGGCAUUUAGCGGGUGUGACUGUUCUGGGGGCUUGUGGAUUCCUCCCAGUGCUCUCUCGUCUUGUCCCUAGCUCAUCCCAGUCUUCCAUCUUAAGUCAACAUCUAUUAAGCAAUGGCUCCAAGUCUAAGCCUUUAGACCCAACUGUCCCUCUCUAGUCUAACGUGCAUUUUAACUUGGCAGAGUUCUUCAUUGCACUUCCACACCCCAACCUCUUCCUCCCAAACUUCCUCCAAGCUACAGUUAGUAUCCCCACGGAACCAGUGGUUGAAGAUACAACUUCAGAAGAAUCCAUUCUUUCCCCCUCUAUCCUCCACAUCUAACUCAUCAACAGGUACCAUUUUCUCUGCCUCCAAAACAGUGUCCUGGACACUAGUACUGACUGCCCAUCACUACUUUUGCUUCUUUGAAUGACACUCCCACCACCCUCCUGGAACUCUUUAAGGCCACUAAACUCAUUUGCUUCCUUCCACUCUUCCCUGCUUAGAUCCACUCCAAAUAGCAUUGGGUACCAUGUUUCCAAAACACAUCAUCAGAUGACAUUGCUUCCAGUGACUUCUCAUCACAUCUAAAGACCAGUAUACUGAUGUGACCCUUUCUAUCCUGCUCUGUCUGCACCACCCUCCACUGGGCUGUCUACUCCUUCAACUUCCUUUAGCUCUUCCUCCCACUUCAAGUUCAGCCCAAGUGUACCCCAUUCAGAGAGGGCUUUGUGGGACCAAAUUCAAAUAGUUCCCUAGGACACCUCAUUGUUUUCUUCCUCAUUCCUUUGCUGCAAAGGUUUCCUUGGGCUGUUUAUUCCUUCUGCAAUGUUACCUGUUGUGUUAGAGGCAGCCUUCCUCCUAAGUCCUGUGCAUGUAUGUAUUCACUGCUCCUCCAGCAUUUAGAAGAGGGCUAGAGAAGCCUGUAGUUAAUAAAUACUUACUGAGUGGAUGAGUGCAUGCAAGCAUGGGAACAUGUUUUAAAAGUCAAGAAAGGCUGGGCGGCGGGUGGCACACCCCUUUAAUCCCAGCACUCGGGAGGGAGGCAGAGCCAGGCAGAUCUCUGUGAGUUCGAGGCUAGCUUGGUCUACAGAGCAAGAUCCAGGACAGGCACCAAAACUAUACAGAGAAACCCUGUCUCGAAAAAACCAAAAAAAUAAAAGUCAAGAAAGAUGGGACUAGAAGCCACGAAUUGUGGCCAACGUGGAUCUUUGUCUAAGAAGAGUUUCAUCUUAGUGUGGUCUAUAUGCUGUUCUUUUAUAAGUAGCCUCUGAGAGUCUUAGUCCAUCCUAUCAUAUGUGUACACCAUUAUCAUUUCCACUUUGCACAUGAAGUGGGACAGAUGGAAUGAAAUUGUUGGCUUAAGCCAGUAGUGGAUGGUGGAGAUGGGACCCAGGGAACUUUCUCUGAUGCGUUCAUGUGCUUCCUAUGAAUCUAAGGAAGUCAGGUUUGCCUCAUGCUAGUUUUGGGGGAUUCCAACUUCUGGUCUAGAGACGAAGAGCAUGGGGGAGCCCCAGCUUGUACAUUGUGUGAUUUUCUAGGGCUGGAGAACUUUGUAGAGGCCAUUCAGCAUGCCCCACAGGGGAGAGAAGGAGUCGAGGUCCAGUGAGGAAACUGUUAAAUGGCUAUUAUCUCUUCCCCAUAGAUGUGAGGCAGCCCACUGACUUGAGGACAGCAGGAGAGUCAAGUGGUCAUGGUUCUUGCAAACUUCCAUAGGGCUACACCAGCCAGCUAAGUACAGAUCCCAUGCACAGUGCACAUGUAUAAAUCUACCCUGAGGCUUGAUGGAGUUUUGGCUGCAAAUGGAUUAACAGUUGCAUGGACACCUACUCUUGGACCAUCUUAGUUCUGAAAGCUGCUUGUAGCUGGGGAUGAUGCCCAUGACCUUGGGUGGGGUCCUAGGUCAAAUUCAGGAGGCAGUACUUUGAGUAAUGCAAGCUUCCUCCGUGAUAGAUCUGUUUUCAGCUCUCUCUGCUGGAGUGAUUGAUUCCCCUGGAGCCUGUAUCCCUUUUCUUACUUAUCGAGUGUGUGUGAUGGAUUUUUGACAAGAUUGAUUUUGACCUGAAUACUGCUGAGCUAAAUGAAUCAACAUUGUCAAUUCCUCUGCCUGAUCCUGAAAAAUAGUUAUGUGGAUGAGGACAUUUUUCUUUCAAUUGAAGUGCUUUCUAGUUCUCCUGGUUGCCCAGCUGAAGGUCUCCCCCUGCCAGGGUCCACCAGCUGCCCUCCCAACACCUCCCUCUUGUAAUCAUGAUGCUCAGCCAUUUCCCUCUUUCCUCUUCGCUCCAGCAAGGCUCCUUCCCACAUCAGGCUUUCUCUCUGUGCCUGCCGGGCUAUGCUUCUCUCACAUGCUCCAGCCAGAAAUAUGAGCUGCAAAUUGGGCUUGGCUGUGUGAUGAGGAGAGAAAGAUUUUUUGUCUCAUCUCUCUUUCUCAUAGCACUGAUUCCUGAAUCGGCACAUUACUUAUUUUCCCCCAAACCUAGAAUAGUUGCAAUCUUUAAGGCGCAGCUGAUGUAUAGCCACGAGCGACUCAAAAUGGGACUUCACAUUCAUCUUUUCUUCUUUCCGAAUCUAAGCAAACGUUUUUCCGGAGCAGUUCUAUGGCCCUGCAGUUCUCCUGCGUCUCUCUGCCUCCUUUACAGUCAGUCUCACAGCUGGAUCUGCUGCCAGGCCCACCUGUGGCUCAGGCUUCCUGGGUCCUGGUGAGAGGGGGUGGGGUGAGCUGGGUAGAAGAGUCAAAUUGAGACAGGGGGCCAUUGAGGGAGAAUGGUUCCCCCUACAUGGGAGGAUCGUUUCCCUAUUGGUGGAGCUAUUUAUGAAUCUACAUAUAGUAAGUGAGUGUCAUGAUGACCGGCUAAGACAACCUCUAUUUGGUGCUUAUAAUCAUAAAAGGGGUCACUCAUUGGUCGCUUCAGACCCUUGGAACAAUUCUGCACAAAACCUUGUUAGAAACGUUUUACUGACAGGCUAGUUGGGGCUCGAGGAGGGUAACCUGCUCAGAGAUACCCACUGUCUAAGGGUCCAGGGACCAGGCUUGAGCUUUCUACAGUACCUUUUUCUCUGCCUCUAAGAUGAGCAAAAAGUGACAUCAUAUUCAGACGGGAAGGUGAAGGCAUGGCCACAGCUGGACUCCCCAAUAUGGUGGCCAACCUCCACCUGACUCAGUUAAGCCAAGACCAAGACUUCCUGGGAUGAGGCUGAGGCCCUUGUCCUUGCUUAUGGGGAUCCCCCGCUGAGCUUUGCUCCAGGUCUGUCUCUGGCUGCCUCUUCCAGCCCCUUGGCCCUGAAGACACAAUGCUGCUUCCCAGGCUCGGGGCCAGCUCCCAGCCUGUAUCUUGGCUUCAUCAGCCUGUAGCUUGUUCUCAACUUGCUCUCCAAGCUCAUUAUUCUCUAACAAAUAUUUUGACAAUAGCUUUAGCUCCCAAAGACCUUCUCUAACAUCUGCAGAGAGCUCUCUGUGAUCAGUGGUAUCCCCUUCAAGGGCAGGCUGGCCUUUGGCCCAGGGUCCAUGCCUCACAAAGGGUCCGGGGCUUGCCCACAGCUCAAGGGUGGGUCUGAAGCUCUCUGUGACACCAGAUUUCCACCUCUGACCAUCAUCUCUCUUCCCAUACAAACAACCUGUUGACAUCCACCGGAAUUUUAUUAGGGUUUUGCUCAUAUUAUUCCCAGGCUGGAGGUGCUUAAUUUGAUCUAAAGAGGCGCGGUUUCCUAAGUCCUCCCACUGCAGGCUAACGUGAGAAUCUUUACACAACAGACUAUUCUAGAAAAGCACAGCUACUGCUCAAAAGAAAAGCACAGUGAAAUGGGUAGCCCUGCGUGUUUACUUUUCGUAGACGGUCUCUGAGCUACUAGCAGGUCACAGACACUCAAGUUCCAGGAAGCUGAUGUCUGAGUGACCUGAGAGAGGACAGAGUCCUUCAGGCUGAACUCCUGGGUGUUUAGAGGUCAGCCUUCCCUUCCUGCUCCACCCCCCCACACACACUGCUUGCAAUUCAGGGAGGGCUGAGAGAGGGACAUGGAGGAGGGUGUUCCAGGGCUGUGAGGGGCAGGAAUGGUAGGGAUGGAAUGUCUGCAGCUGAGAACCAUAAAUCUGCAGGCUUUCAAAAGGACAAAGCCUUGUGCAGAAGAGCCAGUGGGGUGCUUGAGGAGGCUCAAGGCAUUCUCUCCUAGAGGGAAGGAGCUGGGGGUGGGGAGGGAUAGCAGAGACUGCCUGAGUGGAGAGGAGGCGGCUGGGUCCUAUCAGGUCCUGGGAUUUGGGUUUUUCCACUAGUGUUCAGAUCUGAUUUCUCUGCCUACUUUCUCAUCAACCGGCACCCACACGGGUCAAGGUCAGUGUAAGCUGCGGGGAAGGAGGCGGCAUUGCUGUGUGCGAGGAGGGGAAGACAGGACAAGAGGUGAGGCCUCCCUGUGAUAGCUAACAAGGUCUCAGGGAGAAAUCACAGAGACUCCAGACCCACAGGAACCAGGCAGGUCACAACCAGAACAUUCUCCUAUGGGUCUCAUGGGCUGAGGUUCGGGCCUGGGUCAGGUCCCUGCUGUGCCUGAAGGGGCCAGAGGGCUGUCUUGUCCCUGGGCCUUCUGUAGCCUGCCAGUCCUCACUCUGGGUGAUUUGAUUUGUGCUGUGAAGAGUACAAAUGCCCCCUGGGAUCAGAGUGGUUGAUUCUGGACUCCUUCCACUGGGUCAUUUUACUGACUGGCUAUUCAUCUGGGUCCAGUGAGGGAAGGGAGGGGGGAGGAAGAAGGCCUGGCUGCCAUUAACUCCUUCAUUGCUAGCAGGCCCUCUGCCUGCUUGUUGGAAGAGCUCGCUCCCAGUCCUUUGGAGUGCAUCCCACCCACUCCACCUUGACUUGGAUGUUUCUUGUGGUACUGGGUGUAUGGUCUCUCAGACAGGCACCUGGAGGGGCUGGGUCCCAUCUGAUUGGUCCUCCCAGUCUACUAAUGUAGUCGCAAGCAUCCAAGCCAUGGCCUCAGCCUCCUCACUGCCGUGCAUUCAUCUGACACAGAAUAGGCAGGUUAUAAAAAAGAAAGACAAAUGGUUCACAGAAAAAAAACCUCCCCGUGUCGGGAGAAGAAGCAGACAGAGACAAAUAGGAGGAGCUCCCUUCCAAGCUCUCUAGCACUUCCUUUCCUUUCCAGGGGCCAGCCAGUUGGUUUUAAACUAGAGCCGCCUCCUCCUCCCAAGAUGCAGGUGGAUGAAAGCAAGACCAUAGCAGGAGCUUCCAGCCAAGCAAGAUGGAGCAAGGUCAAAGGCACACUGGAGGGAAUUCUGCUUUCCUUUAGCAUCCUAAGAAGAUAGGUCGUUAUUUCCAGGGCCACUGCUAACCUUUUGAGAUACUCAGAAGAAACAGCUAAGGCAACUACAGCAUCAUUGAGCCAAGAAAAAAAAAUCACCCCGUCUUUUCUCCAGACAGAUAAAACUCCUGCGGAGAGACAAGGCUUGAUGAGUAGAGAGCAAACUCAAUUCACCCCAAUUCACUUGUUCAUCCAGGUACUCUGAUUAUUUCGAAUCCUUGGGCCAAUAAAUUCCAGAGGUUCCAGAAGGGACAUCCAUAAUGGUGGGAGAGGCACGGCAGCAGGUGGCCAAAGCAGGAAGCUGAGCGGCUGGAGGGAUGACUCAGGGGUUAGGAACACUCACUGCUCUUCCAGAGGACUCAGGUUCAAUUCCCAGCAACCACAUGGCAGCUCACAUCUGUCCAGUUUCAGGAGACCAGACACCCAUAGCAAAAAAAAAAAAAUCAAUGGACAUAAAAAUAAAAUAAAAUAUUAAAUAAAAAAGCAGGAAGCUGAGAGAUCAAAUCUGUUAUGAUUUAUUACACGGGGCAGGGGAGGGGCGAGGGUACCCUGAGCAUGCAGGGAAACAUGCUGGCAUGCUGGGCAGAUGCAACUGCUGGCUGGCGGGAGAUCCAGCCCAUGUAGGCAUGGCGGUGGGAUGGUGGCGGUGGGACAGUGGGUGGACAUUCACAUCCCAGAUGCUGCAUCUGAGAGGAAACGGUUUAUUGUAAUAGAGAGAUGAAGAGGCAGAAAGAUGAGAGAGAGAGAGAGAGAGAGAGAGAGAGAGAGAGAGGAAGAGAGAGGAGGGGUACACACCUUGUGGGAGGAAAAGCAGAAGGAGAGAGAAAGAGUGUUGGAGACCGACUCCGGACAGCUGUGUCUUGAAUUUUGUGUGACCUUCCUUACUUUAUCAAACCUUGCAAAAACAGGUUCCUGGCCUAACCGCGGGCUGUACAACUUCCUGGAGUACGUGCUAAUCAGCCAGCUGCAGGGGCCUGGGACCAAAGCGACCUCACCCUUCCUUAGGAAUUUUCCAUUCUUCUCUCCUUUUGCUUCCCCUGCUCCCCCUCCCUGCCUGAAGCCCUGCUUAUAAGCCUCAAUACCCAGUCAAUAAACGAGACCUUGACGUGACUCAGACUGACUCUGUCUUCCCUUAUGCGCCUGGUCUCCUUUCUCUCUCGCCCCCAUUGAUCUUUCAGGAGGUGCCUCCUCGGGUCUCCCCAAUA
This is a long non-coding RNA of Peromyscus californicus insignis, 7704 nucleotides long. RefSeq lists it as uncharacterized. NCBI's taxonomy places the organism in Eukaryota, Metazoa, Chordata, Mammalia, Rodentia, Cricetidae. The record is from RefSeq and is a predicted model, not a curated record. The transcript has 4 exons.